UACAGAGGUCUCAAGCGUUGUUCGGAUUCAUUGGGCGUAAAGGGUGCGUAGGCGGCGCGGUAAGUCGGAUGUGAAAUCUCACGGCUCAACCCUGGAAUGCCGGUGGAAACUGUCGGGCUAGAGUCCGGAAGAGGCGAGUGGAAUUCCUGGUGUAGCGGUGAAAUGCGCAGAUAUCAGGAGGAACACCAAUGGCGAAGGCAGCUCGCUGGGACGGUACUGACGCUGAGACGCGAAGGCGUGGGGAGCAAACAGG
RNAcentral lists this ribosomal RNA (253 nucleotides) under uncultured bacterium. RNAcentral's name for it is "partial 16S ribosomal RNA". It matches the Rfam family "Bacterial small subunit ribosomal RNA", at positions 524 to 776 of the family's 1533-position model. The record is from RNAcentral.